Molecule: ribosomal RNA, 250 nt
Filed under: uncultured bacterium
Lineage: Bacteria
Description: partial 16S ribosomal RNA
Rfam family: Bacterial small subunit ribosomal RNA
Source: RNAcentral
GACGAACCGUCCAAACGUUAUUCGGAAUCACUGGGCUUAAAGGGUGCGUAGGCGGUCUGUUAAGUUGGGUGUGAAAGACCUCGGCCUAACCGAGGAAUUGCGCCCAAAACUAGCGGACUUGAGCAAGGCAGAGGUGAACGGAACUUAGGGUGGAGCGGUGAAAUGCGUUGAUAUCCUAAGGAACACCAGUAGCGAAAGCGGUUCACUGGGCCUUUUCUGACGCUGAUGCACGAAAGCCAGGGGAGCGAAC